CGUUCUAGUAGCUUAAUCA
This 19-nucleotide transfer RNA is filed under the name Liopeltis tricolor. RNAcentral's name for it is "partial tRNA-Thr". Lineage: Eukaryota; Metazoa; Chordata; Lepidosauria; Squamata; Colubridae. The record is from RNAcentral. RNAcentral also lists the same sequence under 1 other name.